Molecule: ribosomal RNA, 1805 nt
Filed under: anaerobic digester metagenome
Description: bacterial LSU rRNA
Rfam family: Bacterial large subunit ribosomal RNA
Source: RNAcentral
GAGAUUGACUGACGUGACUGGAGUUCAGACGUGUGCUCUUCCGAUCUUAACACAGAGUGGAGGACCGAACCCUAGUCUGUUUAAAAAGGCAGGGAUGAGGUGUGGAUCGGAGUGAAAGGCUAAUCAAACUUGGAAAUAGCUGGUUCUCCCCGAAAUAGCUUUAGGGCUAGCCUCAUAUUUAAAUGUAACGGAGGUAGAGCACUGAAUGAGCUAGGGCCCUUCACCGGGUACCAAACUCAACCAAACUCCGAAUGCUGUUACAGGAUGUAUGGGAGUCAGACUACGGGUGAUAACAUUCGUGGUCAAAAAGGAAACAACCCAGACCGACGGCUAAGGUCUCAAAUCUAUGCUAAGUGGAAAAGGAAGUGUAAUUGCGAAGACAGCCAGGAGGUUGGCUUAGAAGCAGCCAUACCUUAAAAGAGUGCGUAAUAGCUCACUGGUCGAGUAGUAAUGCGCCGAUAAUGUAACGGGGCUAAGCAUAGAACCGAAGCCACGGGCUUGCUCGAAAGAGUAAGCGGUAGGGGAGCAUUGUGGAUGUCGAAGAAGGUGUAUCGCGAGGUAUGCUGGAGAUAACACAAGAGAGGAUGCAGGCAUGAGUAACGAAAAGAGGGGUGAGAUCCCCCUCCGCCGAAAGCCUAAGGAUUCCAGGGUUAAGGUAAUCUUCCCAAGGGUUAGUCGGCCCCUAAGGCGAGGCUGAAAAGCGUAGUCGAUGGGAAACGGGUUAAUAUUCCCGUACCUCUUUUACUUUCGAAGGGAUGACGCAUAAGGUGAAGCCCGGCCGGAGAAUGGUAGUUCCGGUCUAAGCAGUAAGCCGUUGAAGGGUGCAGGAAAAUCCGCAUCUUGAGGUAAGCUGUUAUGGCGAGAGAGUCUAAGGACAAUUGAAGCGGGUGUAGUCAUAGUGCCAGGAAAUAAUCUCUAAGGUUAAGAGUAAAAGGGACCGUACCGUAAACCGACACAGGUAGGCGGGCUGAGAAUGCUAAGGCGCUCGGGAGAACUCGCGUUAAGGAACUCGGCAAAAUACACACGUAACUUCGGGAGAAGUGUGGCCUUUUUUGGAGAUCAAAAUUUAGAAGAGGUUGCAGAGAAUAGGUCCAGGCGACUGUUUACCAAAAACACAGGUCUGUGCGAAAUUGCAAAAUGACGUAUACGGACUGACACCUGCCCGGUGCCGGAAGGUUAAGAGGAGGGGUUAGCACUUAGGUGCGAAGCUCUGAAUUGAAGCCCCGGUAAACGGCGGCCGUAACUAUAACGGUCCUAAGGUAGCGAAAUUCCUUGUCGGGUAAGUUCCGACCCGCACGAAUGGUGUAACGAUCUGGACGCUGUCUCAACGCGAGACCCGGUGAAAUUGGAGUACCGGUGAAGAUACCGGUUACUCGUGGUUAGACGGAAAGACCCCAUGAACCUUUACUGUAGCUUGGCACUGAAACUUGUCCUGAUAUGUGUAGGAUAGGUGGGAAACUAUGAAGCUUGUACGCUAGUAUGAGUGGAGUUGACGGUGAAAUACCACCCUUAUCAGGUUAGGUUUCUAACGGAUGCCAUUAUCUGGUAUCUGGACAAUGUCAGGUGGGCGGUUUGACUGGGGCGGUCGCCUCCUAAAGAGUAACGGAGGCGCGCGAAGGUUGCCUUGCGGUGGUUGGAAAUCAUCGUGUAAGUGUAAAGGCAUAAGGCAGCCUGACUGCGAGACAAACAAGUCGAGCAGGUACGAAAGUAGGUCUUAGUGAUCUGGCGGUGGCACGUGGAAGCGCCGUCACUUAACGGACAAAAGGUACUCCGGGGAUAACAGGCUGAUUUUGCCCAAGAGUUCA